UAGUAACGGCGAGUGAAGCGGCAGCAGCUCAAAUUUGAAAUCUGGCGCAAGCCCGAGUUGUAAUUUGUAGAGGAUGCUUCUGGGCAGCGGCCGGUCUAAGUUCCUUGGAACAGGACGUCACAGAGGGUGAGAAUCCCGUACGUGACCGGCGCGCACCCUCCACGUAGCUCCUUCGACGAGUCGAGUUGUUUGGGAAUGCAGCUCUAAAUGGGAGGUAAAUUUCUUCUAAAGCUAAAUACCGGCCAGAGACCGAUAGCGCACAAGUAGAGUGAUCGAAAGAUGAAAAGCACUUUGGAAAGAGAGUUAAAAAGCACGUGAAAUUGUUGAAAGGGAAGCGCUUGCAACCAGACUCCGCGGCGGUGUUCCGCCGGUCUUCUGACCGGUCUACUCGCCGCUGCGGGGCCAACAUCGUCUGGGGCCGCCGGAUAAGACCGUAGGAAUGUGGCUCCCUCGGGAGUGUUAUAGCCUGCGGUGAUGCGGUGCGUCUCGGGCGAGGUCCGCGCUUCGGCAAGGAUGUUGGCGUAAUGGUUGCUAGCGGCCCGUCUUGAAACACGGACCAAGGAGUCUAACAUCUAUGCGAGUGUUCGGGUGUCAAACCCCUACGCGUAAUGAAAGUGAACGGAGGUGGGAGCUUCGGCGCACCAUCGACCGAUCCUGAUGUCCUCGGAUGGAUUUGAGUAAGAGCAUAGCUGUUGGGACCCGAAAGAUGGUGAACUAUGCCUGAAUAGGGUGAAGCCAGAGGAAACUCUGGUGGAGGCUCGCAGCGGUUCUGACGUGCAAAUCGAUCGUCAAAUUUGGGUAUA
This 803-nucleotide ribosomal RNA is filed under the name Paramycosphaerella cyatheae. RNAcentral describes it as "eukaryotic LSU rRNA". It matches the Rfam family "Eukaryotic large subunit ribosomal RNA", at positions 81 to 919 of the family's 3401-position model. The record is from RNAcentral. Lineage: Eukaryota; Fungi; Ascomycota; Dothideomycetes; Mycosphaerellales; Mycosphaerellaceae.